RNAcentral lists this transfer RNA (87 nucleotides) under Hydrogenophaga sp. IBVHS1. RNAcentral's name for it is "tRNA-Leu". It matches the Rfam family "tRNA". From Rfam's summary of the family: Transfer RNA (tRNA) molecules are approximately 80 nucleotides in length. Lineage: Bacteria; Pseudomonadati; Pseudomonadota; Betaproteobacteria; Burkholderiales; Comamonadaceae. The record is from RNAcentral.
GCGCGGGUGGCGAAAUCGGUAGACGCCCGGGACUUAAAAUCCCGUAUCCGAAAGGGUGUGCGGGUUCGAUCCCCGCCCCGCGCACCA